AGGAAGUAAGAGUAGAGUUGGAAGAAAUAAGAGAAGAGUCGAGCCAAACUAAAAGAGGAAACUAAUAUAAUCUCUCUGCAGAAUGCUGCAAAGCAACAUCGUCUAGAUCUGAAACAUAAGAUCAAGCAGAAGUUGGUUUGCUGCACUCUGCUGGGAGAUUAGAUUAGUUUCCUCUUCUAGUUUGACAGCCUCUUCUCUUAUUUCCUCAAACUUCUCCCUGACUUCCU
This 227-nucleotide microRNA precursor is filed under the name Populus trichocarpa (black cottonwood). RNAcentral's name for it is "miR6457a stem-loop (ptc-MIR6457a)". The stretch from base 26 to 202 matches the Rfam family "MIR6457 microRNA precursor family". The record is from miRBase by way of RNAcentral. Lineage: Eukaryota; Viridiplantae; Streptophyta; Magnoliopsida; Malpighiales; Salicaceae.